GUCGUACGCUUCUUUUUCACCGGAGCUUGCUCCACCGGAAAAAGAAGAGUGGCGAACGGGUGAGUAACACGUGGGUAACCUGCCCAUCAGAAGGGGAUAACACUUGGAAACAGGUGCUAAUACCGUAUAACAAUCGAAACCGCAUGGUUUUGAUUUGAAAGGCGCUUUCGGGUGUCGCUGAUGGAUGGACCCGCGGUGCAUUAGCUAGUUGGUGAGGUAACGGCUCACCAAGGCCACGAUGCAUAGCCGACCUGAGAGGGUGAUCGGCCACAUUGGGACUGAGACACGGCCCAAACUCCUACGGGAGGCAGCAGUAGGGAAUCUUCGGCAAUGGACGAAAGUCUGACCGAGCAACGCCGCGUGAGUGAAGAAGGUUUUCGGAUCGUAAAACUCUGUUGUUAGAGAAGAACAAGGAUGAGAGUAACUGUUCAUCCCUUGACGGUAUCUAACCAGAAAGCCACGGCUAACUACGUGCCAGCAGCCGCGGUAAUACGUAGGUGGCAAGCGUUGUCCGGAUUUAUUGGGCGUAAAGCGAGCGCAGGCGGUUUCUUAAGUCUGAUGUGAAAGCCCCCGGCUCAACCGGGGAGGGUCAUUGGAAACUGGGAGACUUGAGUGCAGAAGAGGAGAGUGGAAUUCCAUGUGUAGCGGUGAAAUGCGUAGAUAUAUGGAGGAACACCAGUGGCGAAGGCGGCUCUCUGGUCUGUAACUGACGCUGAGGCUCGAAAGCGUGGGGAGCAAACAGGAUUAGAUACCCUGGUAGUCCACGCCGUAAACGAUGAGUGCUAAGUGUUGGAGGGUUUCCGCCCUUCAGUGCUGCAGCUAACGCAUUAAGCACUCCGCCUGGGGAGUACGACCGCAAGGUUGAAACUCAAAGGAAUUGACGGGGGCCCGCACAAGCGGUGGAGCAUGUGGUUUAAUUCGAAGCAACGCGAAGAACCUUACCAGGUCUUGACAUCCUUUGACCACUCUAGAGAUAGAGCUUCCCCUUCGGGGGCAAAGUGACAGGUGGUGCAUGGUUGUCGUCAGCUCGUGUCGUGAGAUGUUGGGUUAAGUCCCGCAACGAGCGCAACCCUUAUUGUUAGUUGCCAUCAUUCAGUUGGGCACUCUAGCAAGACUGCCGGUGACAAACCGGAGGAAGGUGGGGAUGACGUCAAAUCAUCAUGCCCCUUAUGACCUGGGCUACACACGUGCUACAAUGGGAAGUACAACGAGUCGCGAAGUCGCGAGGCUAAGCUAAUCUCUUAAAGCUUCUCUCAGUUCGGAUUGUAGGCUGCAACUCGCCUACAUGAAGCCGGAAUCGCUAGUAAUCGCGGAUCAGCACGCCGCGGUGAAUACGUUCCCGGGCCUUGUACACA
This 1355-nucleotide ribosomal RNA is filed under the name Enterococcus durans. Its description in RNAcentral is "bacterial SSU rRNA". It matches the Rfam family "Bacterial small subunit ribosomal RNA", at positions 61 to 1389 of the family's 1533-position model. Lineage: Bacteria; Bacillati; Bacillota; Bacilli; Lactobacillales; Enterococcaceae. The record is from RNAcentral.